RNAcentral lists this ribosomal RNA (626 nucleotides) under Halomonas caseinilytica. RNAcentral's name for it is "bacterial SSU rRNA". It matches the Rfam family "Bacterial small subunit ribosomal RNA", at positions 71 to 691 of the family's 1533-position model. The record is from RNAcentral. Lineage: Bacteria; Pseudomonadati; Pseudomonadota; Gammaproteobacteria; Oceanospirillales; Halomonadaceae.
GAUCCUAGCUUGCUAGGAGGCGUCGAGCGGCGGACGGGUGAGUAAUGCAUAGGAAUCUGCCCGGUAGUGGGGGAUAACCUGAGGAAACUCAGGCUAAUACCGCAUACGUCCUACGGGAGAAAGCAGGGGCUCUUCGGACCUUGCGCUAUCGGAUGAGCUUAUGUCGGAUUAGCUGGUUGGUGAGGUAACGGCUCACCAAGGCGACGAUCCGUAGCUGGUCUGAGAGGAUGAUCAGCCACAUCGGGACUGAGACACGGCCCGAACUCCUACGGGAGGCAGCAGUGGGGAAUAUUGGACAAUGGGGGCAACCCUGAUCCAGCCAUGCCGCGUGUGUGAAGAAGGCCCUCGGGUUGUAAAGCACUUUCAGUGAGGAAGAAGGCUUGUCGGUUAAUACCCGGCAAGAAAGACAUCACUCACAGAAGAAGCACCGGCUAACUCCGUGCCAGCAGCCGCGGUAAUACGGAGGGUGCGAGCGUUAAUCGGAAUUACUGGGCGUAAAGCGUGCGUAGGCGGCUUGAUAAGCCGGUUGUGAAAGCCCCGGGCUCAACCUGGGAACGGCAUCCGGAACUGUCAGGCUAGAGUGCAGGAGAGGAAGGUAGAAUUCCCGGUGUAGCGGUGAAAUGCGU